ACCCAGGUGAAAUAAACAGCCUCAUUGUUCACACAAAGCCUGUUUGGUGGUCUCUUCACACAGAAGCGAGUGAAAUUUUGGUGCCAUGACUUGGACCAGGGGACCUCCCUUGUGAGAUCAAUCCCCUGUCCUUCUGCUCUUUGAUCCGUGAGAAAGAUCCACCUAUGACCUCAGGUCCUCCGACUGACCAGCCCAAGGAACAUCACACCAAUUUUAAAUCCACUCAAUCAUCCCAGGUCAACAUCCCAGGUCAAUUCCUGCUGUGCUGGCAGCAGGAAUUUCAAGCCAGUGAUUCAUAGCUUGCUGGGCUCCAUGGGAGUGGGACCUGCUGAGCGAGACUACUUGGCUCCCUGGCUUCAGCCUCCUUUCCAGGU
Molecule: long non-coding RNA, 374 nt
Filed under: Homo sapiens (human)
Lineage: Eukaryota; Metazoa; Chordata; Mammalia; Primates; Hominidae
Description: HSALNT0176437
Source: RNAcentral